CCUACGGGGGGCUGCAGUGGGGAAUAUUGGACAAUGGGGGGAACCCUGAUCCAGCCAUGCCGCGUGUGUGAAGAAGGCCCUCGGGUUGUAAAGCACUUUCAGUGAGGAAGAACGCCUGGUGGUUAAUACCCUUCAGGAAAGACAUCACUCACAGAAGAAGCACCGGCUAACUCCGUGCCAGCAGCCGCGGUAAUACGGAGGGUGCGAGCGUUAAUCGGAAUUACUGGGCGUAAAGCGCGCGUAGGUGGCUUGAUAAGCCGGUUGUGAAAGCCCCGGGCUCAACCUGGGAACGGCAUCCGGAACUGUCAAGCUAGAGUGCAGGAGAGGAAGGUAGAAUUCCCGGUGUAGCGGUGAAAUGCGUAGAGAUCGGGAGGAAUACCAGUGGCGAAGGCGGCCUUCUGGACUGACACUGACACUGAGGUGCGAAAGCGUGGGUAGCAAACAGGAUUAGAUACCCUUGUAGUC
RNAcentral lists this ribosomal RNA (465 nucleotides) under Vreelandella stevensii. RNAcentral's name for it is "partial 16S ribosomal RNA". It matches the Rfam family "Bacterial small subunit ribosomal RNA", at positions 338 to 795 of the family's 1533-position model. Lineage: Bacteria; Pseudomonadati; Pseudomonadota; Gammaproteobacteria; Oceanospirillales; Halomonadaceae. The record is from RNAcentral.